This 68-nucleotide transfer RNA is filed under the name Ovis aries (sheep). It matches the Rfam family "tRNA". From Rfam's summary of the family: Transfer RNA (tRNA) molecules are approximately 80 nucleotides in length. Their secondary structure includes four short double-helical elements and three loops (D, anti-codon, and T loops). Lineage: Eukaryota; Metazoa; Chordata; Mammalia; Artiodactyla; Bovidae. The record is from Rfam by way of RNAcentral.
CCUGGUGGCUCAGUGGUUAAGAAUCUGCCUGCCAAGCAGGAGCUUCAGGUUCAAUUCCUGGGUCAGGA